UCAAAACUAGGGAAUCAAGUCUUUGUCGGUUUCUUGGUUUUAAAAAUAAAUCGUUUCGGUUAACUUUAUUGUUAAAGGUUUUAUCUCAAACUCUCGCUCUGUUGAAUAAACCAUGAUUUUGUAUUAAUGUAGCUGUCACUUAUAAUUAAGUCAAAAACCACUUUUUGAAAGCAAUAAAGUUGCAGAAACUCUUCUUAAGAAAACACUGACCGUUUUAAACACCCUUAUCUCAAACUCUCGCUCU
RNAcentral lists this long non-coding RNA (244 nucleotides) under Lathyrus oleraceus (garden pea). RNAcentral describes it as "Pisum sativum (pea) long non-coding RNA (PSAT_LNC004183)". Lineage: Eukaryota; Viridiplantae; Streptophyta; Magnoliopsida; Fabales; Fabaceae. The record is from RNAcentral.